UACGAAGGGAGCUAGCGUUGUCCGGAUUUAUUGGGCGUAAAGAGCUCGUAGGCGGCUCGGUAAGUCGGGUGUGAAACCUCCAGGCUCAACCUGGAGACGCCACCUGAUACUGCUGUGGCUAGAGUCCGGUAGGGGAGUGUGGAACUCCUGGUGUAGCGGUGAAAUGCGCAGAUAUCAGGAAGAACACCAGCGGCGAAGGCGGCACUCUGGGCCGGAACUGACGCUGAGGAGCGAAGGCGUGGGUAGCAAACAGG
Molecule: ribosomal RNA, 254 nt
Filed under: uncultured bacterium
Lineage: Bacteria
Description: partial 16S ribosomal RNA
Rfam family: Bacterial small subunit ribosomal RNA
Source: RNAcentral